Long non-coding RNA from Apodemus sylvaticus (European woodmouse), 775 nucleotides. RefSeq lists it as uncharacterized. NCBI's taxonomy places the organism in Eukaryota, Metazoa, Chordata, Mammalia, Rodentia, Muridae. The record is from RefSeq and is a predicted model, not a curated record. The transcript has 3 exons.
GCUGGUGCAGACACACAUUUGGCUACUUGCCUUUCCAGUGCCCUCUUUUUGACCUCUUACUCGCCUCGGGUCUGGAUCUUUCCUUCCUGGAUCUGCUCCAACUACCGCCUCCUGUUUUACUCUUCUGUUACCAACAAGACUUUCUUACCCUUCCACCUCAGUAAUGUGACAUUUGGUGACCGGUGACAGGCUAGAAGCCUCAGAAAGACUGGGCAAGUCACUGGGCCUCCCUCUUUGAAAGCUGUGUGUGGGCAUGAGCCACCAACAAUCACCUGGUUCGAAUGGAUUGCAAGCAGGCAAAGUGCUAAGGGGGACACAAGAUGAAUAAGACAUGACCUCUGCUCUCCAGGAUCCGACCACGGAACAAAUACAUGGAAAGAUAACUAAUCCUGGAUGCAGCCUGUUGCCGAUGACUGAUGCAGUCCCACGGGCAACGGAAGUACAGGGAGGAAGACAAAUGACUGGGCAGUAAGAUGGCUGCUCCUCAGGCCCCCUCAGGAACUUGUUAGUUAACAGAUAAUUAAGAAAACAUUUGGAGAAGUGGAAUAGGAGUCCGUUCCUAGGCCUGGCAACAUGGACUUGUUUGACCCUGUCUGCAAGAUGGAGAAGCAGUCCUUGACAUGACUGGACUCAGACAACUGUCUCCUUACAAGUUGUCCCUGAGAUGUCUGGACUCAGGCAACUGUUUACAACAGAAGCUGUUCAGCUCUAGAGAAGUCCUCAGAUGCCCACCCUAGGGCCUGGGACCUUGAAUUUAGCGUCUUCCCUGUGAUUA